RNAcentral lists this ribosomal RNA (906 nucleotides) under uncultured archaeon. RNAcentral describes it as "bacterial SSU rRNA". It matches the Rfam family "Archaeal small subunit ribosomal RNA", at positions 21 to 903 of the family's 1478-position model. The record is from RNAcentral.
CCCCACUGCUAUCGGGAUGGGACUAAGACAUGCUAGUCGAGCGUCUCCAAGCUAUGGAAGAGACGCGGCACACAGCUCAGUAACACGUGGCUAACCUGCCCUUGGGACAAGGACAACUCCGGGAAACUGGGGCUAAUCCCUGAUAAGUGAGAACUCCUGGAAUGGAUUCUCGCUCAAAGGACGUUUAGACCAUGCUUCUAGGCGUCGCCCAAGGAGGGGGCCGCGACCGAUCAGGUUGUUGGUGAGGUAACGGCUCACCAAGCCUUUAACCGGUACGGGCCGUGAGAGCGGAAGCCCGGAGAUGGGCACUGAGACAAGGGCCCAGGCCCUACGGGGCGCAGCAGUCGCGAAAACUCCGCAAUACACGAAAGUGUGACGGGGCCAUCCCGAGUGCCAUCCGCUGAGGAUGGCUUUUCCCCAGUGUAUAAAGCUGGGGGAAUAAGGAGAGGGCAAGCCUGGUGUCAGCCGCCGCGGUAAUACCAGCUCUCCGAGUGGUGGGGAUGUUUAUUGGGCCUAAAGCAUUCGUAGCCUGCCUGGCAAGUCCUCCGUUAAAUCCAACGAUUCAAUCGUUGGGCUGCGGGGGAUACUGUCCGGCUAGGGGGCGGGAGAGGCCGACGGUAUCCUCGGGGUAGGGGUGAAAUCCUAUAAUCCCGGGAGGACCACCAGUGGCGAAGGCUGUCGGCUAGAACGCGCUCGACGGUGAGGGAUGAAAGCUGGGGGAGCGAACCGGAUUAGAUACCCGGGUAGUCCCAGCUGUAAACGAUGCAGGCUAGGUGUUGGCGCGGCUACGUGCCGCUCCAGUGCCGCAGGGAAGCCGUUAAGCCUGCCGCCUGGGAAGUACGGCCGCAAGGCUGAAACUUAAAGGAAUUGGCGGGGGAGCACCACAAGGUGUGAAGCUUGCGGUUU